AUGGCGGCGGUGUACACAUCCUUCAUCUUCAUUUCUCAGUCCGUCUCUAUCCGCAAUAACCUGUUUCAACUCAUCUUCUUCACUCUGACUCCGUUCGCCUCUGCGUCACGCUCAUGGUUUCGCUCAUCACCGUCUUCACCGGCGCCAAGUUCGAUGCCUCUUCAACGCGUCGAAGCUUUAAAGAAUCCGAAAGAAAGCUCGAAUCCAAAUAUGAGGCUUGUUGGAAUGUCGAUCGUUGUUGAAGAUGGAGAUAAAGAAUUGCAGAGUUGUAGUUGUUGUUGUGAGUUGAUCUGA
Non-coding RNA from Vicia faba (fava bean), 294 nucleotides. Lineage: Eukaryota; Viridiplantae; Streptophyta; Magnoliopsida; Fabales; Fabaceae. The record is from the annotation of a GenBank genome assembly.